Molecule: unclassified non-coding RNA, 358 nt
Filed under: soil metagenome
Description: partial contains 5.8S ribosomal RNA, internal transcribed spacer 2, and large subunit ribosomal RNA
Rfam family: 5.8S ribosomal RNA (bases 1-120)
Source: RNAcentral
GAUGAAGAACGUAGCGAAAUGCGAUAAGUAAUGUGAAUUGCAGAAUUCAGUGAAUCAUCGAAUCUUUGAACGCACAUUGCGCCCGUCAGUAUUCUGGCGGGCAUGCCAGUUCGAGCGUCAUUACGCCCCUCAAGUCCCCUGUGGACUUGGUGUUGGGGAUCGGCGAGGCUGGUUUUCCAGCACAGCCGUCCCUUAAAUUAAUUGGCGGUCUCGCCGUGGCCCUCCUCUGCGCAGUAGUAAAACACUCGCAACAGGAGCCCGGCGCGGUCCACUGCCGUAAAACCCCCCAACUUUUUAUAGUUGACCUCGAAUCAGGUAGGACUACCCGCUGAACUUAAGCAUAUCAAUAAGCGGAGGA